AGCUCCUAGAAAUUUAGAGGCAUAGGACACAGGUGAAAAAGAAGUCUUUGGGUCAUGGAACCAGGUCCUCACACCAUGGUGCUUUUCAUGGACAAUGACAUCAUGCAAUACGUUUUAUAAACUGGCUAAGUUCCAGCUUAAAAUUGAUCAUUUACUUGGUGCUUACACUAUCAGAAGGCUGCUCCAGACUGUGACUCCUCCAUAGUCAGAAAGCUUGACAUUUAAAAUUUAAUCUAUCAUCAGUGAGUCACAGCUUUGUCUUAAACUCAAUGCUGGUGUGUCUAGCAUUGCAGUGGAAGUCAGUUCACCUCUUCCCAAAAAAACCCAGUGGAGGGUCCCUGAGCAGACGGAUGAAAACCUUCUCAGUCUUGCUAGAAUAGAGUGAACACAAAAACUUCUGGUCGCUGCCAGAUAAUCUCUCUAAUCCAACUAUUGGAUCUCACUCUGCAUGAGAUGAAUCAGAUCUUUGAUGGCAAAUAAAAGCAUUGUUUGCAUUGGUGUGAUUGCUGAUCUCCUUUUCAAAAACCAGAGGGAUGUUUAAUUCUUUUGCAUACCAAACUGAAUAUGAGGCAGCACUCCAGGUACCUUACUGGUUCAGAGUUAAAGGACUGUAGAGGAUGUGGCUGCCUUGCAGAAAAGAGAUUUAGAAAAGGAAAGGUUAAGAUUUUAGGUAUUUUUCUCCCUACUUUAGUCCGUACAUUACAUUUGCAAGUUCCACUUAGGUAAGUCAUAAAAUUGUAGGAACACAUUUUAGCCACAAUGGAUUACUUGUAGGCUUUUUCAUCUCCCUCUGCCUCUACUUAAACUAUUACUCCUGAGACAGGUGAACCUGUAUUUGUUGUGUCAAUAUUGGUGAAUCAGUGUUGCCAGUAUUUUUGUACUCUGCACACAGAGAGUAAUGUCCUGCGAGCUGAAGAUGCACUUGAGAAUACUUCGGCCCUGGCAGCCAAAGGUUUCACCAACAUUGCUUCACUGAGGACAGAAAAUUCAGUAGUAGCUGACUUGCAGGGUUCCCAAAAGACCAUUUUAUUCUGAACCUGUGGUGUGAGAAGUUUUGCUUUUAAACCAUUGUGCCAGGUAGUCGGAGCAAAAGAAGUUAUAAAAGCAGCAUUUACUUAUGUGGAUUCCUUGGAUUUCUCUGCUGCUGUUUAUAAUGGGAUAAUCUGGUGCUCAAAAAAAUGUGAAAAAGCCUUUUGCAGAAAGCAGUAGAAAGACAUUUUAUGUUCCUUUUUACUGAUUACCUUUGCUUGAUGAGAGGGAACAAUUAUUUUAAGUGGAUUACUUCCAAAGAAUAACUUAAUUUGAUAAUAAAACAAAUACUACUUUCCCAUUUAUUGAUGAAUCAAGCAAGGUAAUUGGAUUUAUAACUUCUGAAUCUAUGAGUAAUCCUGUUUCUAAAUCACAUAUGUGUUUCCUCCUCUGCUUUUAUGUUCAUCAGGAGAUGACACUUAGUUAUUCCUUCUCUUUCUGGCAGAAAUUCACUUUUUUGAAUCAGGACAGCAAUGGUCUUCUGCACUGCUGCUGAGCUCAAAAUAGAGCUAAUUUAUACUUAUGCAAUAUACAUCCUUGCUGGAGAAAAGUGAGCUUCAGUCAUUUUGAGUAGCUAGAAAUACUAGUUAAUUAAAACAGAUCUUGCAUUAAUAUCUAGAAUAUGCACAGUAACAGUGGAACGUUAUGGUACUGUUUUGUACUACUUCAUAGCAGGGGCCUGGAAGCUGAGAGGCCCCUGGAACAUAUAUCCCAGCCUGGUAUGUAGGAAACGCCUUUGAUGGGCAUAUACAGCUAAUUUGAGGAGUGGCCGUGCCAAGCGUUAUUGACGCUUCUCCUCCCUCUGCUUUUUAGCUUGAUACCACAAAUCCACCAUGCUGAAUAUUUAGAAGAUUAUAGAUGAUUUAAGACAUAAAAUCACAAAAGAUUUUUCACCUAACUGAAUUAGUAAAAUGCUUAUUUUUACCAGUAAUUAAUCUUGUAGCAGUUUAUACUCCUAGACCAUCUUUCACCUGGAGAUCUCAGAUCAGUUUGCAAACAUUAGGUAAACUUCUUAGACUCUGUACUUAAAUACUUCAUUUGUUUUACAGGGAUGGCCUGCACCUACAAUGGUCUACCAAUAUAGCUAUACCUAUUCAUACCAACGCAUUUCUGAAGUGGAAAUGCUACUUAUGUUAGAAAAACAGUUCCUCUUUUGGUACAGAACAAAAAUCUGUUCCUUGAGGAACUAUGUCUGCAUGUUCUGGUUUAAAGUGUGAUUUCUUUUCAUACCUCUAUUCAACUCAGUAAUGUUAGCAAAACUUUUAAGAGCAGAUCAAAUCAUGAACUGAAAGCACUAAAAAAGCUCAUUCAAACUUGGAUUAUUUUCUUACGUAAAGGGCAAAUGACCCUUGUGCUCAAAAUACAUUACUUUAUUGAUGGGAUUCAUUGAUCAGUAUAUGCCCUCGGUCCCAUUGAUAAAGAUGGAAAUCUGUUACAUUCCCCAGCUUCACCACCUUUACUCUCUGCAUCAGUGUUGCCCUCUUGCCUGAUAAAGCACUGCUCAGAAACGGACUUCCAGAGCUGAAAGAACACAUCUGUAGAGCCUGAAUUGAAUAGCCAGCUUCUGUCAUUUGGAACUGUAACAAAAUUGCAUCUGCUGAAAAUCACACAGUUCUGCUAGCUAUUAUGGUUUUACCAUGGAUCUGAUAAUCUUGAGACAUUUUUCCUGGUCUGCCAAUGUCAGCCAUAUUCUUUAAUGGUGGUCAGCAGUGAAUGAUAAUGAUUCACUUGGGAGUUUCCAGGGUUUCCAGCCUACCAAGCCCCAUUGUGGUUUACAGCUGAAACAUUUCGAUCGAACUUUUCCACUUGUAGAUGCCAUUUGAAGCCAGUGCUGCACCUCCAUAUUUUUUUUCAGAUGAGAACAGAAUGUGUUGUUUGAACUGAAAUUACAUUCUGGGGUAGAAUAGAAGAGGGCAGAAGGAAAGACAUGUUAUUUGUUAGGAAAAGUAUGCUAUGGGUUUUGUGGUACUGUGGGAAAGUUUGCUCCUGCUGCGUCUACUCAGAAUCCCAAAUCCCACAUCCACAUCACCUUGAUUCCCACCACAUUUUCCUCUGUGCCUCCUUCCACACAGUGACAGAAAAAGCCAGAUUUUUUUUGACUAAUCUAAUGUACUUUUUUCUCCUCAGUCUCUUCUGUCUCUCCCCAUUGCUUCCAGAAGGGGCGGGACUAUUUCUCUCCAUUACAGGGCAUCGUAGGGCUUUCUGACAUCACUUCCAAUGCAUUCCUUGCCUCCGUUCACCCAGGAAGAAUCUGCUGCGUUUUGAUUUCUGUCUCAGGUCACUCAUCACACAGCUAUGUGCCAGCAGGAAGUAUGUUGCUCUUCUGGUAGACUAAACAAAAGGAAAUCCACCUGGGACGGAGAGGAGACACUAGUAUCCCUUUUAACAACUUCACUUCUAAAUCACCCUUCCAUCCCCUGCCUUCAUCUCCCUCCCUCUAGCACAGAUUCCACACUAAAGCAAAGCAAACACAAACAAAGGACACCUGUUCCCAGCCCUACUAAAGAGAGAAAAGCUGCUAGUGCCCAAAGGCUAAAGCUGAGCUGAACGUAUUAUGGCUACAGAAGUUGGCUAGGCUGCAGAUAUACCUGCGCAAGGGAAAUAUGAGCCUAUCGCGCAAUGCCAGCAAAUAACAACUAAAAAGUAACUUACAUCACAGGAGGAUGGCAGGGGGAAAUCAAGGUACAAUUAUCACCACUCCUCUGCGCCCAUAUAUCAUCUUGUUGGCAUGUACACAAGUGUUCCUUCAAUAUAAAUUAUUAAAAAAAAGUAAAAAAAAAGGUAAUUUGCUGUCAACACUUACAGCAGGUGACCACACUCUCCCCUCACUUGUUACAGAGCUCGCACAAAUUCUUCUUUUUCUGCAGACGUCAUGGUCAUCACCAGUGUGAGCAGAGGGAUGCUUCUUGUAGCAUGCCCUGGAGAUGAACAGACCCAAGCUAUUUCAGACCAGUGAGUCCUUUCCAGGGCUGAGAGCUCCUCACAGAGACUGCUUUGCAACCGUCAUCUUCUUUUUCAGCUUGAGCGGCUUUUCUUCUUGCAGCCAUGGCAGUAUGGCAGAAAGGAGAUGGGAUAGCUCUCUCCCGUGUCCAGCGCUCCUUUUCUCACUGCUAGUGAUUCAAAGGAUUAAAGCAGAAGGAUAUACAGCAGCAGAUGGGGAUUUCAUUUAUUUCCUGUGCUUUGAAAACAGACUCUAAGAAAUACAUCCAUUGUUAUUGUGACCUCCAGUACAAUGAAUGCAGAUUUCAGUUUGAGUUGGGAGGGGGAUGUUGCUGGGUCCAGGGAAGUGGGCACCACAGUGGAGAGAAAUGCUCUGGUGAUAUUUUAUCCACAUUAUUCAGGCAAAAAGCCAGUUUGUAGCAAAGGUCAGUGCAUCAAAGAUGUACAAAAUACUCCUGUUUUUCUCCAUCUCUUCCCCUUCCCCUGGGGAUCCAGCGCAGAGGAGCAGAAGCCAGAGGUGGUGGCAGUGGAAGAGGUGAACUCCAACUAGGGCUCCUGUGGCAAGGUGCUGGGCCCUCAGGGCUGCCCCUGGUAAUGGGAAAAAAACCCAGCAAACAAACAGAAAACAGAAGCAAGAAGUUGCUUGUGGGAGAAGGAAGGCCAUGGCAAUCGGUGGCCUGGCUCCCAUGCCGCCUGAAGCUGUGGAGAAGGAACUGGCCGGUUCUGAGGCUGCUCAUGUGAUUUUUGGGACACACUUUUAUGUCAGAAGAGGGAACUGUAGCCUUUCCACCCCUGAUCAGUGGGGCAGCCUUGUGUGGGUGGUCUGCGGAGAGGAAGGAGAGGAUUACCCUCAGUUCCCUGUCUCCCCAGGUUGCUCGUCGGAGGGCUCCCGGGGUGAACCUGGGGCUUCAGUCCUAGGGCAAGGGGUGGAGGAAACAGUCUCUAGAAAUGGCCUCGUCCUUCUUUUAACAGAUCCAAAGGGAAAGAUCAGUCCCAUGGAAGAGGCUUUUGCUUCGGGGUUUCAUAACCUAGGAGUGCUGUGGAACUUCCAGAACCCAGAUGUGAUAGAGGACAUUAGCUUUUCCAGAGUCUUCGCUUUUAAUCUCCACCUGUGAAGAACUGGGUCAAUUGUGCAUGGCCAGAGACAGCAGUUCCCCUUGCACUGUAGCUUCGAGUACUGGAGAUAACACUUCCUAUAAAUCAAGACAGGCUGUAAAAAGUGACAAAAACUGUGAAGUUCAGCUUGCCAGGAAACUGUUAUCGUGUAUGUGUAUUUUUUUAGAAAAAAACCCCAUUUAAUAUCCACAUUCCAUUUUGUCAAUUUUUCAAAACCCCUGACAGGGAUGUGAAUGUUGCUCAAGAGCUAUUACAUAUCGUGAUUAUAAUUUGUUCUUUUUGAAGAAGGUGAUGUCUAAGUUGUUUUUGAUGAUUAUGUUUCCUUGGCCUAUAUUUAUUUGAAAGGCACUUUUCAAACCUGAGAAUUGUUUCCAAACAGUAUGCAUAAAUGAUUAGUACUGCUUGCAGUCAUGCAGUUUGAUCCCUGUUCCCUUUAGAUGUUAGUCUAGAUGUGAAGACAGUGCCCUACCUGGUGCAGAAAGAAUAGAUCUUAACUGCUGCAGCAGCUGAAAGAGUUGGAAUGAUUUAAAGAUAAAACCAGCCACUUCCUAUAGAAUCAGUCAGAGCUCUGGGUUAUAAAAUCCACCGUAUACUUUGCAUGUGCUAACGAUGUGGUGUUUACUAGCAGAAUGCUGUGUAAGUGACUAGUAAAUACCAUGGCUUCAAACACACAGAUUCCCUGUUUCGAGCUUCAUCCUAUGGUCUACAUGCAACUUGGUCCUACUUUGCGGCUGCUAUGACACAAACCCUAAAUUAUCUUCUAAUUUUUCAAAUUCAAAAGAAACUCCAUUUAUUUAAUUGUUUAAUGCCUCUCUGAAGAAUCAAGGCAUUUUACCCUAGGUUCACCAGAAUGAAUACUUAUCCCAGACAUCUCCCUUUGAAAAGAAGGUUCUUCAUCGUGCCAGUAAGGAAAAUAUUUUGUGAGUGUUGCAAUUUUUUUUCCAGCUAAGUGACAAGGAGCAUUUAAUUUUGGAUAAAAUAGGUGUUUAUAUUUUCUUUCUUGUCAUUUUUUUGUUUUAAAAAUCCGUUAUUAGUGUCCUCCACCAUUUGAAAACCAGGAAGGAACAACUUUUCUUGAGAAAAGAAUAGGUAACCACCUAGUGAAAUGUCAAAACCAAAGAAUCAUUGUGUUUUGAUAGCACGUUAUGUACUGAAGUCUGUAUAGCUCGCCAUACGUUCUGGUACAUUUUAGACUUGUAUUUAUUUGGAAAAAAAAAAUAGGGAACAAUUGUUGCAAAAAUUAGCACAGGUUCCAGAAAAGAUAUAUGAGCAGAGGGACUGAUUUUUAAGGGUGCAACCAUAAGAUACGUGUGAAAUGAGCACAAACUAAUUUUAUCUUUGUCAGCACUAGCUGCAGUGUGGUCUGAUAGCUUUUAUAAUCUUUGCUGUUUUUUGACCAGAGUCUUCCCCUCUGGAGAUCCAGUUCUUGGAGCCGUUCUUUCUCCUCCCCCAUCUCAUCUGAUACCUGUUUCCAAAUUUAAUGUGCUUUCUAUCCUUUGGUUCUUAAAUGACCUCUCUUUUCCUUUUACCUCUUCUGUUAUUUAAAGUUGCAAUGUAUAUUAAAACUCACAAAACAGGCUUAAGGCAAACCAAGCCGCAAACUGUAUCUAUGUAAUAGGGGCAUGUGUGAUUGGGAACAACAGGACAGAGUUUCUUUAGUUAUUGCAGGGACAUUCAUGUAGGAGGCAAACAUCAUUUAAACAGAUGUUCUUCUGAAAUGCAGAAAAGGAGCUGGAUUGUGUCUCCCCUGCUUGGUGACAGCAUGUCUUGAAGUACACCUGAUGCCUCAGUCCUUUUGCAUGCCAACUUGUGGCUGCAAAGCUGGAGGGAGGGAGGAAGCACAUCCUGCAAUUUUACUACGGGAGAAAAUAACAAAUAUCUCAAAUCAGACAAGUACCGAGGGGCAACGCAGCACCGUUAUGCAUGGAGAUGGGGGAUGGCACAGCUGGAAUCAUGCACGAUGGUAUCAGGUGGCACUAAAACGUUUAUCUGUGGUUGCUGUGAGCGUGGAGGGAGGCAUUGCCAUGACUUCUUUAGUCCGCCAAUAAAUCCAUUCCUAGUCCUUCAGCCUCCUCCUUCCUUUAAAGAAACGGAGAAUGUCCUUCAGAGGUCCACUGUUCAUCUAUUUAAAAUUAUUUGUAAAUCCUUUGCUGAAUUUGGGCUUGUGUCAGAAGUGGGCUGAAAGAAGCAAUGAGCCGGAGCUGUGAGACAGACCAGAUAGAGUCUGUAUAACAUGUACCCCCCUAAAAAUAGUUACUGUCUUCUUCUAAAAGCAGUAACAGAAUAUGAGUUGUAAACUUGGUGUUCUUAGAUUGUCACUUUGGCUCUAACUAAGCUACCAUUUAAGGCCAGUUUGUACAUGGGGUAGGAGUGUUAAAAAAAUAAUUGACGCUAGCUGCUUUCAUCAAUCACUUUCCAGUGAAUGAUUUUCUAUUUUAUUCCUGCUAAUGUUUGUCAGCAAUUUUCUCAUGGAUCUUUUUGCACUUUUUUUUUUUUUUUACUCUUUCUUUGUUCUGGUAAAUUUGCCUGCUAAAGAAACUGUUUUAUUUCAUGGGCCACGCUGGAAGAACGCCUGUGACCGCCCAGGUGAGGACUUGCUCCAAGUCAGAAAUGCUUUUAUAGUCAGCUAAGAAGGAACAAAUACACCCCCCCAGAACCACGAAUUUCAACACCUCUUCUGGCAGCGCAUGCAAGACAGUAUCAUUUUUGAAAGCAUAAUAGUAUUUCUAAAAUCAAAUUAAAGAUCUUACUUUCAAGAUAUCUUAUUUUCUGUUCCAAAUAAGCUGCAGUCUACAGUAUAACUUUGUCAUCCAGAAGAAAGCCUGAAAUUAAGAGAAACAUUAUAUGAUCCUAGCAUCUAUUAUGCAUCUUUUUAUUUGUUGAAGGCUUGCUGUAGAAUCUGCUUGUUUCCAAGGAAUGAAAUUGCUUAUUAUCCCAGAUAAUGAAAGACCAUGUCGUCAUCUAUAAUUGUUAGUUUAGGAUACUCACUGUACCCUUCUAUUAUAAAUAGGUUUGCAUUAAAAAAGUUUCAGCAAAGGAAGCAGCUUUUAAAGAUUUUCUUAAAAAAAGAGGGAUUUGUUUGCAAGUGAAAUUUAUGCAUUUUUGACUGCAAAAUAUAUUGGAACAAGUUUCUUAAUUGACAGAUUGUAACUUGAAUAUGUAUGCUAUUUACUGAAUGCAAUCUGUGAAUAUUACAGCCUUUUUUCAAUGAUCAUAGAAGUGUGCUUCUCUAUAUACCUAAGUACAUAAAUAUACCCACCUGUCUACGUA
Long non-coding RNA from Harpia harpyja (harpy eagle), 8355 nucleotides. RefSeq lists it as uncharacterized. NCBI's taxonomy places the organism in Eukaryota, Metazoa, Chordata, Aves, Accipitriformes, Accipitridae. The record is from RefSeq and is a predicted model, not a curated record. The transcript has 2 exons.